GUGUUUGAGAAUGUCAAAAGCACUGGAGUCAACAUUUCUGCAGUAACUGCUCCCGAAAAUGCAAACGGUUUGAAAUCAACCGGCCAAGAUGAGACAAGCAUCAAUCUGCAGUGGGAUAAAGUAGACAACAAUGUUAGCUUUGUUCUUCAGUUCAAUGGCAGACAGGAAAAUAUUACUUCACCAGAUGGAAAUGGAACAAUCUCUUACAUUGUGACCAACCUGGAUCCUCAAACAAAAUACACAUUUUUCCUCUUCUCUGUGUUUGAGAAUGUCAAAAGCACUGGAGUCAACAUUUCUGCAGUAACUGGUAAGUUACGUCCGUCAUGUCAUUCAUCAUGUCUACUGAAACCCAGUUUUAGAAAUUAACGUCAAAUCAAAAUGUACACAAUUUAGUGUUACAAUUUUCUUAUUCCUUGCUUUUGUUCUCAGCUCCCGAAAAUGCAAACAGUUUGAAAUCAACUGGUCAAAAUGAGACGAGCAUUAAUCUGCAGUGGGAUAAAGUAGACAACAAUGUUAGCUUUGUUCUUCAGUUCAAUGGCAGACAGGAAAAUAUUACUUCACCAGAUGGAAAUGGAACAAUCUCUUACAUUGUGACCAACCUGGAUCCUCAAACAAAAUACACAUUUUUCCUCUUCUCUGUGUUUGAGAAUGUCAAAAGCACUGGAGUCAACAUUUCUGCAGUAACUGCUCCCGAAAAUGCAAACAGUUUGAAAUCAACCGGACAAAAUGAGACAAGCAUCAAUCUGCAGUGGGAUAAAGUAGACAACAAUGUUGGCU
Non-coding RNA from Oryzias latipes (Japanese medaka), 777 nucleotides. The record is from RefSeq and is a predicted model, not a curated record. Lineage: Eukaryota; Metazoa; Chordata; Actinopteri; Beloniformes; Adrianichthyidae.